This 2003-nucleotide small RNA is filed under the name Histoplasma capsulatum. Its description in RNAcentral is "hypothetical RNA". RNAcentral also lists the same sequence under 1 other name. Lineage: Eukaryota; Fungi; Ascomycota; Eurotiomycetes; Onygenales; Ajellomycetaceae. The record is from RNAcentral.
UGCAAUACAGUGUCGACCCUGAGAUAGACAACCCUCAUUGAUCUCAAGGCUUGGUGAGAAAAUUAUACUACUUGAACACGAGUGAGCGCUCAGAAAUGCACUGAAAUGAGUGGGCCAUUGUGGGCGAGCUUGGCUGAAAGGCGGAGGUAUGUUUGGGGGAGUGGAAAAGAAUCUCCUCUCCUACUAUAAGCAGAUUACACCAUCUGGCCAAAGAAACUUAUUAUAGCUUCGUUAAAAAAGAAAGAAAGAAAGAAAGAAAAAAAAAACUCCUUUCUAAUAUAUAACCUGACUUUGCGUCUGUUGUUUAAUCGAUAUACUAUCCUAACCUAUGGGUCAUUACCUAUGUAUAGGCAAGAUCUAUGCAAACCCCGAAACGAAGCUCCAGACGUGGCCUAAUGCAUGUUUCGAGAACAUAUUGCAGGCGGAAGCCUCAUAAAUAAUCAACAUUCCAGAGUUAGAUAGCCCGCUCCUUUCCAUCGCUGUUUUUACCUUCAGUUUGUUCAACAUGCAGUGGAAUUGAGCAAUAUCCCAGUGCCAGUAUCAACGGAGUUUGGUGAGGGUGCAUCCACCGGUACGGAAUGAUCCAAAUAGAAAUACUGCAAUAGUAAGUGACGUGUCUGUGGUUGGAGAUUGAAGAAAGGAGUCGCUUGUAGGGCGAAAGUAUGAAAGACCGAAUGAUCCCGUGACGGAGAGCUACGACGGGAUAAUUCCCUAAAAAUGCCUUUUUUUCAAUUGGAAAACUGGCAUUUAAAAAGAAAAUAAAUAAAAAACAAAACCGAUCAUUUUUCAUUUGUACCAGAAUCUUCUCUCUUUAACAGCUGAAUCUUGCCCAUGGUGAGAACUGCGCUGGAAUUAGCAGUUGUCGAAUUCUCAUCGCUAGUGCCUUGGUUGUUCCUAUCACCAUCGGUAGACGAACCCCCUUUCCCAUUGGAUUUCGCAGAGACAGCGUUCCGGUCAUAGCUCGUUGGAUCGAUCCCCAAGACCCCGCCAAUGUAGCCGCCACGCUCACCGGGGACACUAAACUCACGAAAAACGUAUCGCCAUUCAUUCAGCCAGGCUUUGACCGCCUUGCCGACUUUGUCUUUGCCAUUUUUACUGUGAUGUCCUGUGCCGGUGAUAGCGUAGAGCACCCGGCGGCCAAGUUUCGCGUGCUCAAGUAGGAUAUUCUCCAGAUAUUCAAUUGCCUCGCUGGGGUGCAGGCCGUGAAGGUCAACAUACAGUUCGUCGUCGCUGCUAUUACUCAGAUGCUUGUUUCGUUCUUCAUAAAGAUGCCGAGCCGCCUCACGAUGCGCGCGACGCAUAGCCUCGUUCUCAGCUUGCCCACGGAGCGACAGAGCUUUGGCUGCACGAGCAUCGUUCCUAUUCCAAGCUUGUGCGGCACUGUGAUAUUUAAUUUAUUUUUUUCUUCUUGUUAGCUCCGUGAGGAGUCUAAAAGUAGUUAAGACAAGACACACCUUUGCAAAAACUUAUUUCGCACGUUACCAUGAGUAAUGGCAUCAUGGCGAUAUUUGAGAUACUGCUGAUUGACGCGAUUUCCCGUUUCAAGCCAUGGAAUGUGUUUAGGUGUAGGAAUUGCCUGCGCCGCAGCGCUAUUUUCGCGAUUUGUAGUGUACGUGCGAUUAGAUUUAGGAGUACCUUUCCGAUGACCUGGCGCUGGAGACGGAGACAUGCGGACAACAUCAGCCAGCGAGGAAGGAUUAUUUUCCUUGUGUCCAGAAUGAUCGCGGUGGUGUCCAUUCCCCCGUUUCCCAUGAUGUUUCUUCCCUGCCCCCUUUACCGCAGAUAGAGUGGGAAAUGCUUCGGGGUCGUCGACUGAUAAAGCUGCAGGGUUUAAUUCACGAUUUUGAUGUCGACUUGUUGGCCGCGAGUGUGGGCGGCUUGCUUGACUUAAGGAACUGUUUUUGUUCCUAAAAUUUGGGGAAGAUGUACCAUGGUAUUGGCCUGUAUGUUUGUGGCGCUGGUACGGACCAGCAUUGGGCCAAGUUUCCAUAUUCGAAGGUUGU